UUGCGGGUGCUUAUCAAGAAAAGGUUUCCUGUAAGCUUCUAGCAAUUCACAGCCAUCUUUGAUUAUUUAUUCUGAAAAAUCUCAAGUUAAACUAGCAAAUCUUAGAUUAUAUCAACUAACAUAAAGUUUAUUACAACUCGCGUGACCUAUAGGUUGACUUAAGAAAUUUACAUCUCAAACACUAACUUGAGUUUGAGUUUAAAUUUUAAGUUAAGUUGGAAAAGACAUUGACUUAUUAAAAUAUAGUGCUAAUUUUUAGUGACUUGAUUAAUCCAUUUAAAUUUGAUUUAAACCCAAUUGAGUUAAUUUUAAGGAACUAAAAAAA
This 325-nucleotide long non-coding RNA is filed under the name Populus tremula. RNAcentral's name for it is "long non-coding RNA (PTRE_LNC002198)". The record is from RNAcentral. Lineage: Eukaryota; Viridiplantae; Streptophyta; Magnoliopsida; Malpighiales; Salicaceae.